UUCUUCAGACGACGGCUGACCAAUUUUCAAAAACUCUCUUCAAAAAUCCCUCUUAAAAAACCUUCAAUCUCUCCAUCUCUAUCUCCAUCUUUUAGUCUUUCUAUCUUUAGCAGCCGCCCACUACAACCCACACAAGUACUCUACGGCCGGCUACCAUAGACGCAACGAGCUUCAGAUGGCAUCUCCAGAUGCGACGGGCUUCGUCAGAUGGCAUCUUCAGACGCGCGGGCUUCAUCAGACAACAUCUUCAGACGCGAUGCACUUUAGACGGCAACGUCGACGGGCUUUGGACGGAGAGUUUAUUUCACUACAAAGAAUGGAAAUCUGCUUGAACUAUCUGAGCUUGAGCCUCCAAGAUGGGUAGAUCACGGCCAGCCCCGUGACGCCAAUGUUGCAGCAAUAGCAGAUGUUGCUUGUUUCAGAACAGAAAUUGUGUAUACAAUAAGCUCUGUGGGAGAUCUCUAUGAAUAUGAUAGGAACUCAAAGCCUCUGUGGAAGAAGCAUGUAUGAAAAGAUAGAGCAGCACAAGAUCUUCGAUUGAUUCCAUCGCGGGGUUGCUAUAUACAUAGCUUGAACGGAGAUCCUUCCAUAUCCCUCUUUCUUUUAACUAAGAUUUUCAGGGUCACACGAUGAAUGAUACCAUAGUUUUGAGGGCCUUAAAUAGAUUAUUGAUGUCGUGAAUUGCAGGCAGAUAGUGAUGAUGAUGGACUCCUGACCUUGAAAGAUAUGACUGAGAACCCAUUUGUGUUCUAUAGCUCUGUUUUUAGUGAAGAUGAGAUGGAUUAUUAUCCACACCACGAUGAAUUUUGUUAGAUGGAUACAGAUGAACAACCACGAAAUUCAGUACUUGUAAUCUAUAUAUUUUUCAUCCUCUUGAUAUCCUUUUAUUGAUAAUUCACAUUUUCUUUCUUUGCUUAUAGGUUAUAUAAAGAAAAAAAAGAUUAUGGGAGAAAAGAAAACGAUAUUGAGAAAAAUUGAGGAUUAUCAAGAGAUUGAUCUUUACAAAAUAUUAGUUAGAGGUUCAUGCCAUAUUGAAGGAUCUGGUUCACAAAGCGAUGGGUGAAACUCUAGAAAUGGGAUUACUUGAAAUAAAACAUGGUUUGCUUCAACUAGCAGAGUCUUUAAACUUUCUUCAUAGCAAUGCACGUCUCAUUCACCAUGCUAUAUCUUCGGAGGUAUCAAUUUUAUUUCAACAUUUUUUCUUUUUCUGGUAGUUUAAAACUUUUUAUUAAGUUUCAUGGGA
Cucumis melo (muskmelon) is the source of this 1243-nucleotide long non-coding RNA. RefSeq lists it as uncharacterized. The transcript is spliced from 7 exons. The record is from RefSeq and is a predicted model, not a curated record. NCBI's taxonomy places the organism in Eukaryota, Viridiplantae, Streptophyta, Magnoliopsida, Cucurbitales, Cucurbitaceae.